GUGUAAACCCCUGCAGUGUGCCCGAUGUGCAGCNAAUGGCCUAUUAGACCCCUUCCGUAGUGGGUACAGGUGGGUGGGGCUCCAUGCAAGCAAACAUUGGCACAACAGCUGUUGGAAGCCAUCCAAACAGACGUGUGCUCUGAAUUCCUCGUAGGAACACAGGCAGCACCCAGAGGGCUGACCAGCAGAGUGCGCAUGGAGAUGGCAGAGGUCCGUGCCAGAGAGAAGGAGCAUGCAUAUGCAGGAGGCGCACACCAUGCUCAGAGUCGGGAAUCUGCGGAUAUUGAGGAGCAGGCAGAAUCCCGGGAGUGGACAGAGGAUGAGGAGGACCACGAUGGCGACGAAGAGGAGCAGCUGCUGCACCUGGACGAGGAGGAGGGGCCAGGAGAUGCUGGCGAGGAGGAUGUCGGAACUGUGCGCUCAGCCACUGAACCCGACGCAGCAUGUCCAGGCGCCGUGGAGAGAGAGCAACCGCAGCCCAGGUCUCCUGAGCCUCCAGGUGCUGCUGCAAGAUAUGCUGCCCCUGGCGUCCGCCUGCUGCAACGGCAGAUGCGGGACAAGAAAAGGAGCGUCCUGGAUAUGCUGGAGAGGACCCUGCAGCUGUACAAGAGGGAGUUGCCUCUUAUCCGGGACACGACGCAUGAGAUCGCCUCUGGGCUUUCUAGGUCACUAGGGGAGGCGACAGCAGGGCUGCGGGCAUAUGACGAGAGAGAGAGACGGGAAACGCUGGCCUGGUGCCAGCAGGUCUCGCAAGGCAUACAGGAGAUCCUGGGCAGAAUGGAUCAGCUCGCCAUCUGCCGUGAGCAACACAUGACACCAGGAGGAUGAGAGCACACUGCACAUGGAGCUACUGGGGUGGAAGGGUCCUCCAUUGCAGGUGUGCCCAUUGGGCGAGUGGCCAGCCCUGGCCUACCAGCAGCAGCUGUUCCCGCAGCGGGGCAUGAGCAGGGCAUGGGGGAGCCACGACACUGGCUGGAAAGCGCGACAGAGAAGGAGGGGCACGUGAGGCAGACAGGCUCCCUCAAGCGUCAGCGCAAGUCCCGGCAGCCCUACUCACCAUGAAGGGUGCGCUGGUUGGCCUGCCAGCGACCAGUGGCUAUGCACUAACAUGCCUGACAUGCACAUGUGGCUCUACACCCGGGUUAGCUGGGGGACGUGGGCACAUGUGGGUGUCACAGGGUGCUUGGCAGGGUGGGUAGUGCUGUGGUGCUGGUGAGGGGAGGGGAGGGAGAAACACCACNGCGCAGACACAUGGC
Long non-coding RNA from Salvator merianae (Argentine black and white tegu), 1256 nucleotides. The record is from Ensembl. Lineage: Eukaryota; Metazoa; Chordata; Lepidosauria; Squamata; Teiidae.